Molecule: ribosomal RNA, 1207 nt
Filed under: Candidatus Phytoplasma noviguineense
Lineage: Bacteria; Bacillati; Mycoplasmatota; Mollicutes; Acholeplasmatales; Acholeplasmataceae
Description: bacterial SSU rRNA
Rfam family: Bacterial small subunit ribosomal RNA
Source: RNAcentral
AUAGGAAACACUAAGGCAUCUUAGUGUUUUUAAAAGACCUUUUUCGAAAGGUAUACUUAAAGAGGGGCUUGCGCCACAUUAGUUAGUUGGUAGGGUAAAAGCCUACCAAGACGAUGAUGUGUAGCUGAACUGAGAGGUUGAACAGCCACAUUGGGACUGAGACACGGCCCAAACUCCUACGGGAGGCAGCAGUAGGGAAUUUUCGGCAAUGGAGGAAACUCUGACCGAGCAACGCCGCGUGAACGAUGAAGUACUUCGGUAUGUAAAGUUCUUUUAUCGAAGAAGAAAACGUAGUGAAAAAACUACCUUGACGCUAUUCGAUGAAUAAGCCCCGGCUAACUAUGUGCCAGCGGCCGCGGUAAUACAUAGGGGGCGAGCGUUAUCCGGAAUUAUUGGGCGUAAAGGGUGCGUAGGCGGUUUGAUAAGUCUCUAGUUUAAAUUCAGUGCUUAACGCUGUCCUGCUAGAGAAACUGUCUGACUUGAGUAAGAUAGAGGCAAGCGGAAUUCCAUGUGUAGCGGUAAAAUGUGUAAAUAUAUGGAGGAACACCAGAGGCGUAGGCGGUUUGCUGGGUCUUUACUGACGCUGAGGCACGAAAGCGUGGGGAGCAAACAGGAUUAGAUACCCUGGUAGCCCACGCCGUAAACGAUGAGUACUAAGUGUCGGGGUUCAUCCCUCGGUACUGAAGUCAACACAUUAAGUACUCCGCCUGAGUAGUACGUACGCAAGUAUGAAACUUAAAGGAAUUGACGGGAUCCCGCACAAGCGGUGGAUCAUGUUGUUUAAUUCGAAGAUACACGAAAAACCUUACCAGGUCUUGACAUACUCUGCAAAGCUAUAGAAAUAUAGUGGAGGUUAUCAGGGAUACAGGUGGUGCAUGGUUGUCGUCAGCUCGUGUCGUGAGGUGUUAGGUUAAGUCCUAAAACGAGCGCAACCCUUGUCGUUAGUUGCCAGCAUGUAAUGAUGGGGACUUUAACGAGACUGCCAGUGAAAAAAUUGGAGGAAGGUGAGGAUUACGUCAAAUCAUCAUGCCCCUUAUGAUCUGGGCUACAAACGUGAUACAAUGGCUAUGACAAAGAGCAGCUGAAACGUGAGUUUUUAGCAAAUCUCAAAAAAAUAGUCUCAGUUCGGAUUGAAGUCUGCAACUCGACUUCAUGAAGUUGGAAUCGCUAGUAAUCGCGAAUCAGCAUGUCGCGGUGAAUACGUUCA